AAAAGGAAAAGCUGUCAAGCGAAACCCUCGCACCGCACGUCCUCCACCUCCCUUCGCCUCCAGCGCCCCCUCCUCCCUCUCCAGCGCCGCCACAGCCGCCUGGGCGACGCUCCCACCCACCACCCAUGGUUGAGGUCGGCGAAGCGGCCCAUCGCGCGGCGCCUGGGGACGCUGCCUCCCUCCGCCGCCGCCAAAACCGGAUGGCGUGCUGUCCGGCGAGGGGCCCGACCUAUCGUCUUCGUCGCGCGUCCUGGGCUGACGGAGGGGCAGACGCCGAUGCCCACCAGCGGCGGCAGGCUCGAUCUGGAUAUUCAUCCUCGUGCCCAGUCGCCGCUCCUCGGCAUAUUCCUCUCCCCGCACCGCCGUUCGCUCUAUCGCGUCACCCGCACUGCCGCUCACCUCCGCCUCGUCAGCGCCUUCUGCUGCUACUGCCGCCGGCGCGUCUCCUAGCUCUUGAACGACCAAACCAUGCAUCGCUACUCCAUGGGAUUCUAAUUUGCCUUUGCAUGCUUGCAAGUUUGAUUGCUGGACCAGCUGCUGGACGUGGAGCACUGGAUCCGGCAGGCGGUGGUGCUCUGGGGCGUCGCCCCCCUCGUCGGCGCCUUCUCGCCGUGUACACUCACAAUUAUUGUACAGAUUGAUGCUACGGCUGUACUGCAGGUAUACACACAUUUCUGAAUUUAGUCAACACUUAUAACAAAAUGUUCACCACAGAAUAAUCCAAUUUAUGCACUGCUUGUGUUACAUUGAGAAAUCAAGAAUGUGGCAGGUUAAAUUUUUCAAAGCCAAUUACUCCUAUGGUAAUUUAGAAAUUAUGUGCUUGUGAAUGAUGUUCCUUGAAUGACCAUAAAAGACGUUUGGUAGCUAAUUUCUAAUUUAUAAAUGAGGCUAAGUAUGUUAAAUAAAUUCAGCUUCUUCUUAGUCCUUGUAGUAUCCCUAUUGAUAUUAUUCCAAAUAAAUUCAAAUAAAUCCAAAGCCCUGGAGUACUUGAUCGCGUCAAAUCAUGGACAUCGCUCGUUGGCAUGCGGCACAGGUGGGCAGGGGCACCUUCGGCGGCGUAGAUGGGCCUUGCCCGCGCGACAGUUGAUGAGGCUGAGUGCCGUUGGUGGCUGGGGCCUAGGCUGCUGCCGCGAGCGACGGGGGACGGAGGAAGAAGGAAAGGGGGUAAUUAGCGUGAGGUUUACAGAGGACUCUUUUUUUGUAAAAAUGCCAAUGGACUAUGCUGGCGACAUUAUUUUUCGGACGGAGGGAGUACUACUUUGGUUGCAAAACUAGUAGACGACUAUUCAUAUUGUGCUGCCCUGCAAGUGAGGUUCCUUGCCCAUUAAGUAAUUUACUCUUUGGCUGCAUGUUUGGGUGUGUAGGGUUCUCACUGUUUGAACAACUUUCAAUAUUCUAAUUCAGCCGCGUGUACAGGUUUAAGAGUCAUCCUUUUAUAUGAAAAGGAAAAACACCUUUUGGUUUAACAAAAAACUUGUAUAUAUUUAGUUAGAGGCCUACUACAUUGUAGGAAGAGCUGGGCUAAUUAUGCACUAUUGUCAUUUAUUUCGUAUAUGUUAGAUUUUCUUACACAUUACCCUUAUUUUAACUAAUGAGCUUAUCCUGGCUGCCUGCCUGGCUGGUAAAGUUUCCAAACAAUAUAUCAAGAUCGUUUUUCUAUUUUUUUGGCCCCAAGACGUUACAGUCCACUUGCUAGAUAUGCACAUUCCUUCUUUAUCAAUCAAGCUUGAUUAUUAUCCAUGUUCUUUGCUUUGGUGGAUUCUUCUAUGCUUGCGUUCUUAGCCUUUCUGUUUUGGUGGAAUCUUCUAUGCUACUACCAAAGCGGCAUGUAAUAGGAUCAACAUGAUUUCUUUGCAUAUCUGCUCGUAAAAGUGGCACUAUGUCUAAGGUCAAUGAAUCAUCCAUCUCAGUUGUUCAAAUAUUCUUAGAUGAUACGUCAAUGAUUUAUGUGGAAGAUGUAAAUUUGUCUUGAAUUGAUGGCUUUCCAGCAAAAAUAGAUGGCAGACAAUAAUGGGCACUAUUUGAGAGCCAUGCAAUUCUGUCGUAUUCUUGGUUAACUCCAGUCUUGGUUGUCAAUGCAUUGUUGUAAUCAUAUUAUCAUAAUCUGAUUGUUAUUUCUAAUACGACUAAUCUUUCUAGGCUUAUGCUGAUUGCAGUCCUCUUGUGUUUGCAUUCCGUCUUACUAGAGUUCCAGUAAUAGACACAUUAUGGAAGUGGUGAGGGUCGAUGACUUGAUUUGCAUCAGUGAGAUGAAGAUAGCUGCCAUUGUAAAUGCCACUGUGCCAUAAAGCCAAGGAUUAAAGUUGUCUGGAGUGAACCGUGUCUCUGUGAGAGGAUCAUAACAAGAGGUAACACACUGCCCUUGCAUAAUAAUGUAGUAGUAUAUGGAGCAUAACAAACUGUGGUUGUGAUCAGACCUUGUAAAUUUUACCUUUCCUCCAAGAUCAUCCUCUCCUAAUAUGCCAUGUGUCGACAGUAGCAGGAUCAGGCUAAGCUUGCCCAUGUAAGUGUAGCUCCUCUAAUCUUAUUACUAUGUUCCGAUGAUCUAGCUUAUUUGUUGCAUCUUCAUCUUUUCACAUGGGAUUGCCUUGUGCUUAAUUUGGUCUGAUCAUUUGCUUAAAAGAUACAAGACUUGUUUCUUAGUGCUCCUUCCCCGUGUUCUCAUUGCUUUUCAGUUUGUCAAUUUGAAUAGGAUCAGUGACGUUUUGUGAAUCAAAAUUUGCCUAGGAAUCUGCAGUGUUCUCUUCCUAUCGGUACAAGAAAACCCUGCAUUUAGAAAAAAAUAUACCACCUCAUAUUUGAGGUAGGUAGCAAUUCAAAAACUGACUUCGUAGCUGAAACAAUGAAAUAGGACUCAGUGAACAACUAGAGAUAACUCAUGUUUCCAUGAAACUACCAACAAAGUGCAAAACAAAUUGCUAUCUUUAGCUACCAAGAAACCUUCUGUAUGCUUUCAGUAUCUACAAAUCUUUCUUCAUUGUCGGCUAGAUAGUUUCAUACUUAUUUUCUUCUGUAAUUAUCUUUUCAGGUCAAUUCACACAUGAUAUAACUAAUCUGCUGUAUGGCGAAUUAAUUUAGCUCUGUUUCGGUGGCCAACUGCUGAUAUCUUAUUUGUGGCAGACUUUCCCUUUCGGUUAAGUGAUAUACCCAAUAGCUGUAAAGAAAUAAAGUUGCAGUGUUGUGAUAUAUCAUUUUAUUUUUGAUUCUUUGCCUUGUGGUGUUCAGUACUUGUGGUUAGUUGAUGUUUGUUUUCUGAUUCUAUUGGUUUCUGUUAGUAGGGUUAUCUGACAUGGUUUGCAAUGUUAGUGCUGGUCUCAAGGUUUUAUAGAAGCAUUUGUGUGUUCUCAAGCUUAGGAGUUACAAGGAGAAAUGGCACUAUGGUCUUGAACUUACACUGAUCUGCUGCUAAAGAAUGAUCCUUAGCUUAGUUACUUAGCUUGAUAUCUUUUUUCGAGGAUAGGUUUGGAGUUGUAUCCACAUCUGUCUAGGUUGGUACUUCGACCAGAAUUCUCGCAUGGCAUUAUAUGCCAAGCUCAGUUGUUGUACUUCAUCUGAUGCAUGCUGAAUGCAAACAAAUGUAUUCUUUUUCUUAUAAUAUGUGAACCAUGUACUGCAUCAACACUCGAUGUAGAUUGUGCUUUCAAUUGGCCGAGCACAAGCACGGUUGACAAAAAAUAUUCAUGUGCUACCCAGAAUAAGAAAAAAAGGGUGAAAUAGUCGCCUCCUACCUGGCAAAGCACAACCACCUCUCAGGAGGCGCCACAAGGGGGCGCCCCAACAACUAUUUAUAUUAUUCUGUGGCUCACAUAUUAUAGUCGAGAUAUUAGAUAUAGUGGCUGUCAGAGAUUUAACCGAAAGCCUUGAGACAAGUGCUGCCACAUUGCUACAAAUAUUGGUACAGAGGUGGUACAGUGAUGCGUGUAUUAAUGUAGUGGUUGUUCAACUAAAUACUAUUGGUACAGAGUAAUAUUACUUCUCUUUUCAACAUGUCUAAUAUGUAUAUAUAUUAAUCGAGCUAUUCAACUAUAGGUAGUAGGCAUAGAAAAAAGUAGGUGCAUAUGUAGAAAAGAAACCGUGGGGCAACAAAGUGUGGCGCUUGCAUAGCUUCGUAAGCUUGGAGAGAGAGAUAG
Molecule: ribosomal RNA, 4130 nt
Filed under: Triticum aestivum (bread wheat)
Lineage: Eukaryota; Viridiplantae; Streptophyta; Magnoliopsida; Poales; Poaceae
Description: partial small subunit ribosomal RNA
Source: RNAcentral